AUUGAACGCUGGCGGCAGGCCUAACACAUGCAAGUCGAGCGGAGUGGCGAACGGGUGAGUAAUGUAUCGGAACGGGCCCAGGAGCGGGGGAUAACUACGCGAAAGCGUAGCUAAUACCGCAUACUAUUGGAGCGGCCGAUAUCGGAUUAGCUAGUUGGUGGGGUAACGGCGCACCAAGGCGAAGAUCCGUAGCUGGUUUGAGAGGACGACCAGCCACACUGGGACUGGGACACGGCCCAGACUCCUACGGGAGGCAGCAGUGGGGAAUUUUGGACAAUGGGGGAAACCCUGAGCCAGCCAUCCCGCGUGUGCGAUGAAGGCCUUCGGGUUGUAAAGCACUUUUGGCAGGAAAGCGGUACCUGCAGAAUAAGCACCGGCUAACUACGUGCCAGCAGCCGCGGUAAUAC
Molecule: ribosomal RNA, 407 nt
Filed under: uncultured bacterium
Lineage: Bacteria
Description: partial 16S ribosomal RNA
Rfam family: Bacterial small subunit ribosomal RNA
Source: RNAcentral